Molecule: ribosomal RNA, 296 nt
Filed under: uncultured bacterium
Lineage: Bacteria
Description: partial 16S ribosomal RNA
Rfam family: Bacterial small subunit ribosomal RNA
Source: RNAcentral
AAUGAACGCUGGCGGCGCGCCUAAUACAUGCAAGUCGAGCGAGAAGACGUAGCAAUACGUUUGUAAAGCGGCGAACGGGUGAGGGAAUACAUGGGUAACCUACCCUCGAGUGGGGAAUAACUAGCCGAAAGGUUAGCUAAUACCGCGUACGCUUCUUGGACUUCGGUUCAGGGAGGAAAGCGAUGCCGAGGGUAUCGCGCUCUUGGAUGGGCUCAUGUCCUAUCAGCUUGGUUGGGAGGUAACGGCUCACCAAGGCUUCGACGGGUAGCUGGUCUGAGAGGACGAUCAGCCACACU